Molecule: ribosomal RNA, 811 nt
Filed under: uncultured organism
Description: bacterial SSU rRNA
Rfam family: Bacterial small subunit ribosomal RNA
Source: RNAcentral
UGCCAGCAGCCGCGGUAAGACGUAGGACGCGAGCGUUAUCCGGAUUUACUGGGCGUAAAGCGCCUGCAGGCGGUCAGGUAAGUCGGUUGUGAAAGCCCCGUGCUCAACGCGGGGAGGCCAAGCGAUACUGCGUGACUUGAGGGCGGAAGAGGGGAGUGGAAUUCCCGGUGUAGCGGUAAAAUGCGCAGAUAUCGGGAGGAACACCAGUGGCGAAGGCGGCUCCCUGGACCGCACCUGACGCUCAGAGGCGAAAGCUAGGGGAGCGAACAGGAUUAGAGACCCUGGUAGUCCUAGCCCUAAACGCUGGAUGCUAGGUGUAGGGCUGAUGAGGCUCUGUGCCGGAGCGAACGCGAUAAGCAUCCCGCCUGGGAACUACGGCCGCAAGGCUAAAACUCAAACGAAUUGACGGGGACCCGCACAAGCAGCGGAGCGUGUGGUUUAAUUCGAUGCUACACGAAGAACCUUACCUGGGUUUGACAUGCUGGUGGUACCGAACCGAAAGGGGAGGGACCCUUCGGGGAGCCAACACAGGUGCUGCAUGGCUGUCGUCAGCUCGUGCCGUGAGGUGUCGGGUUAAGUCCCGUAACGAGCGCAACCCUUGCUCUUAGUUAUACGUGUCUAAGGGGACUGCCGGCGACAAGCCGGAGGAAGGUGGGGAUGACGUCAAGUCAGCAUGGCCUUGAUAUCCAGGGCUACACACACGCUACAAUGGCCGGUACAAAGGGCAGCCAAGCCGCGAGGUGGAGCGAAUCCCAGCAAAGCCGGUCCCAGUUCGGAUUGCAGGCUGCAACCCGCCUGCAUGAAGUUGGAG